RNAcentral lists this long non-coding RNA (306 nucleotides) under Setaria viridis. RNAcentral's name for it is "long non-coding RNA (SVIR_LNC005269)". The record is from RNAcentral. Lineage: Eukaryota; Viridiplantae; Streptophyta; Magnoliopsida; Poales; Poaceae.
GUGGAUGGAGAGUGUAUAUUUUAGAGAGUAAUCUAGCCGUUGGGAUUUGGAGACUGGGAAAUGGAUAGUCUGUUGCAAUAAAUAACUUAAUACGGAGAGGGAUAUUUUUGCUAACUCAAAUAGAAAGUCAAAAAUGGGUAGUCUGUUUGGAGAUGCUAUCAGUAUUCUCCUGCUUAAUAGGACAAAACUGAUUUAGCUCCACAAGAGAGGAGCACAAAUACGAUCAGAAUCUCAACAGUCCCAGCGUUUCUACUUUCUCCCGAAAGUAAAAUCAAACUGGGUACCUCCACAAGAUUAUCCCAACUU